Molecule: transfer RNA, 67 nt
Filed under: Microgaster sp. SNS-2016
Lineage: Eukaryota; Metazoa; Arthropoda; Insecta; Hymenoptera; Braconidae
Description: tRNA-Asn
Source: RNAcentral
UUAAUUGAAGCCAAAAAGAGGUAAAUUAUUGUUAAUAAUUUAAAUGAAUAAUUUUUUUCCAAUUAAA